Molecule: ribosomal RNA, 425 nt
Filed under: uncultured bacterium
Lineage: Bacteria
Description: partial 16S ribosomal RNA
Rfam family: Bacterial small subunit ribosomal RNA
Source: RNAcentral
GUGAGGAAUUUUGCGCAAUGGGGGCAACCCUGACGCAGCGACGCCGCGUGGAGGACGAAGUCUUUCGGGAUGUAAACUCCUGUCAGUGGGGACGAUAAUGACGGUACCCACAGAGGAAGCACCGGCUAACUCCGUGCCAGCAGCCGCGGUAAGACGGAGGGUGCAAGCGUUGUUCGGAAUUACUGGGCGUAAAGCGUAUGUAGGCGGCAAGUUAAGUUCAAUGUUAAAGCCCACGGCUCAACCGAGGAGAUGCAUUGAAUACUGGCUAGCUAGAGGGUGUUAGAGGAAGACGGAAUUCCCAGUGUAGCGGUGAAAUGCGUAGAGAUUGCGAGGAACAUCGGUAGCGAAAGCGGUCUUCGGGGACAUACCUGACGCUGAGGUACGAAAGCGUGGGGAGCAAACGGGAUUAGAAACCCCUGUAGUCC